AGCGAACGCUGGCGGCGUGCUUAACACAUGCAAGUCGAGCGAAGGUGUUUCAAGGGUAACCUUGAGAUACACUUAGCGGCGGACGGGUGAGUAAUACGUGGAUAACUUACCUCUAGGCCUGGGGAUAACCCCGGGAAACUGGGGCUAAUACCUGAUAAGACCACAUUGGUCUACGGACAAAGGGGUAAAGUGGCUGCGCAAACAGCUAUCGCCAAAAGAUAGGUUCACGUCCCAUCAGGCAGUGGUGAGGUAAUGGCUCACCAAACCAAAGACGGGUAGCCGGCCUUGGCGGGUGAACGGCCACACGGGGACUGAGACACGGCCCGACUCUACGGGAGGCAGCAGUGGGGAAUAUUGGGCAAUGGGCGCAAGCCUGACCCAGCGACGUCGCGUUGGGGAAGAAGGGCCCUU
This 411-nucleotide ribosomal RNA is filed under the name uncultured bacterium. Its description in RNAcentral is "bacterial SSU rRNA". It matches the Rfam family "Bacterial small subunit ribosomal RNA", at positions 29 to 420 of the family's 1533-position model. The record is from RNAcentral.